This 458-nucleotide ribosomal RNA is filed under the name uncultured Desulfobacteraceae bacterium. RNAcentral's name for it is "bacterial SSU rRNA". It matches the Rfam family "Bacterial small subunit ribosomal RNA", at positions 346 to 795 of the family's 1533-position model. Lineage: Bacteria; Pseudomonadati; Thermodesulfobacteriota; Desulfobacteria; Desulfobacterales; Desulfobacteraceae. The record is from RNAcentral.
CGGCUGCAGUGAGGAAUUUUGCGCAAUGGGGGAAACCUUGACGCAGCAACGCCGCGUGAGUGAUGAAGGCUUUCGAGUCGUAAAGCUCUGUCAAGUGGGAAGAACCUGAAAGAUGAUAAUACCAUUUUUCACUGACGGUACCACUGAAGGAAGCACCGGCUAACUCCGUGCCAGCAGCCGCGGUAAUACGGAGGGUGCAAGCGUUAUUCGGAAUCAUUGGGCGUAAAGGGCGCGUAGGCGGCCUCUUAAGUCAGAUGUGAAAGCCCGGGGCUUAACCCCGGAAGUGCAUUUGAAACUAAGGGGCUUGAGUAUGGGAGAGGGAAGUGGAAUUCCUGGUGUAGAGGUGAAAUUCGUAGAUAUCAGGAGGAACACCGGUGGCGAAGGCGACUUCCUGGACCAAUACUGACGCUGAGGCGCGAAGGCGUGGGUAGCAAACAGGAUUAGAUACCCCUGUAGUC